UCGAGUAAAUUUUUUAAGUAUUCUUGGGGCAUUAAUGGUGGCACUGGGUAAUCACAGAUUCAUAGUAUAUGAUUCUCUCCACUCUACUAUUUCCAUUGGCCCCUCUUGCUUUUUCUCUCUCCUUUUUCGUUUGUCCUCCCCUUCACUCUCCCCUCUCUCAAAUACCACAGUUUUUGUUUUUUUGGAUGAAAAACCAAAAACCCAUUAAAAAAAAACCACUCUUCAAUGCCUCCUCUUUCACCUCAAACACCAUGAAUUUAGGGUUUGAUGAAAUGUGGAGAGCUUGAACAUUCAAUUCUCAACGUUUUCUCAAAGACUUUUUCUCGAGAAAAUGAUUGUGAUGGGGAAGAAUGUGCUGGUGUUGGCCCUCACCCUUGUAGUCUUGUUUGGUGGUUUCUCAUCAGCUCAAGCUACCUCUCCUGCAAAGGUUGUUAGUGGGUUUCUCUCAAAUGUUGUCUCUAUACUGAUGAGAUGGUUGUGGUCACUCAAAGCUACUACCAAAACAGGCCAUUGGAAACAAAUGGGAUACAUAUCUUGAUCUUCUCCAGUCGGAUUACAUUGAGGGGUAACAGAUUGGGAAUGGUGGAAAAUAGUUCGGGUUGCAUCAGAAGAUUUGAUUUUGUUUUUUUGGAAAUAUUUUGAUAUAAGAUUUUGGUAAAUGACUUUAGGUUAGAUGUUUAACAUCAAACUAUUUGGUUUUGUGUUUUUGCAAAUAUUUUGACAUGAGAUUUUGGUAAAUGACUUGUGGGUUAGAUGUUUAGCAUCAAAAUAUUUGGUUUUGUGUUUUUGAAAAUAUUUUGACAUAGGAUUUGGUAAUGAAUUUGUGGGUUUGAUGUUAAUAGUUUGUAAGUACUUUGGUAUGAAUGUUUCAGAUUGAUAGAGAAUUGUAAUUAUGCUUAUUGGGAUGUUUAAUAGCUAUUAAUUUUGAAUUA
This is a non-coding RNA of Camellia sinensis, 932 nucleotides long. Lineage: Eukaryota; Viridiplantae; Streptophyta; Magnoliopsida; Ericales; Theaceae. The record is from RefSeq and is a predicted model, not a curated record.